GACGAACGCUGGCGGCGUGCCUAAUACAUGCAAGUCGAGCGAACAGGCGAGGAACUUGUUCCACUGACGUUAGCGGCGGACGGGUGAGUAACGCGUGGAUAACCUACCUAUAAGAGGGGGAUAACUUCGGGAAACCGGAGCUAAUACCGGAUAAUAUAUUGAACCGCAUGGUUCAAUAGUGAAAGACGGUUUUGCUGUAACUAAUAGAUGGAUCUGGGCGGCAUUAGCUGGUUGGUAGGUUAACGGCUUACAAGGGCGACGAUGCGUAGCCGACCUGAGAGGUGGAUCGCCCACACUGGAGCUGGACCACGCUCAAGCCUCCUACGGGAGGCAGCAGAAGGGAAUCUUCGGCAAUGGGCGAAAUCCUGCCGGAGCAAGGCCGCGUGAGUGAUAAAGGUCUUCGGAUCGUAAACCUCUUUUAUUGGGGAAAAACAAAUGUGUAAGGAAAUGUGCACGUCGUGACGGUACCUACUCAGAAAGCCACGGCUAACUACGUG
RNAcentral lists this ribosomal RNA (497 nucleotides) under uncultured bacterium. RNAcentral's name for it is "partial 16S ribosomal RNA". It matches the Rfam family "Bacterial small subunit ribosomal RNA", at positions 28 to 507 of the family's 1533-position model. The record is from RNAcentral.